Molecule: unclassified non-coding RNA, 1571 nt
Filed under: Leishmania donovani
Lineage: Eukaryota; Euglenozoa; Kinetoplastea; Trypanosomatida; Trypanosomatidae
Description: gene:unknown
Source: RNAcentral
AAGACCUGAACGCUGCUGUGCGCUGCGCUGCCACUCCUUUGCAACGAUUGCAACUGCAGCAGGCUCGGCUCGCACCGCAAAGAGAAAGGCGUUGCUGCUUGGUGGUCCAUCGCGGCAGCACCCCUUCUUUUCUGCUGCUCGAGCUUAUGUCUAGCACCACAUCAUUCGCACCCGGAUGCUCCGUGGAAGCAGCUGAGCGAGCUGUGCACCGAUGCCGGGGCCUCAGCCGUUUUUCAAAUAGAGCCCCGGUCCUUCGUAAGUGCCGCACUGUUGCCCCCCUCUCCUCUCCCCGGCGCGCGCUGGAGGCUGCCGUGGGAAAGCGAUCCGGAGCAGCCUGCCGAAGCGCGGAGCAAGAAGCCGAGCCGCGGCAAGUGACGCAGCAGCAGCAGGUGCUCAGGCUCUCUGUGCCUGACUCCUGACCCAUGUAUCGUUGCGUUUCCGAUGAAGGCCUAUCGACAUUAUGGGAGGCGGUCAAGAGCAAGCCACCUGCUCCGCGUUUAGACUGGGGACGGCACGAGCGGCUGCACAUGCGGGAGUGGCCACGCGCCUACAGUGGACUCACCGGCUUUGCCCGCACUAUCCGCGCGAAGGGCGCCCUAGCCCUCGAGUGCAACCGUCAUGCCGCGGCGCGGCUGUAGGAGGAGCUGGCGGGCGUCUGCAAGGGCGCUGCCAACUACCACGCCGACUACGGUAACAGCGACGAUGGCGAGUGACAUGGCACAUCGACUCACUACUACUAUCAUGAGGUGGCACCGUGGUACGACCAGGAAGACAGGCGCGAAGGUGUUUUCCUUUUCUUUGCGGACAAUGGCUACGACAGCUCCGAUGAAGAUGAAGGGGACGAGCGCGAGAUGUUCUUUGGCGAGCGUAGACCGCCAACCGUGAUGAGAACGGGCGGCGGCAGUCAUGGCGUUGGUGGUGGCUGUGCUCCGCGCUACGUAGAUGCUGCCGUGAUGCAGCGAAUGGCCGAGCUGACGCAAGAGACAGUUCAGCUGCGUGGCGAGGUAGCACGGCUGCGAGAGGAACAGAAGCUUCAACGGUGAUGAGAAGAGGGGGAGAUGCGGGUGCUCCAUGGUCAGAGUCGGGGAAUCGAUUUGAGCGCCGAAUGGCGGGUGCGUCUCGACUGCACGGCGCAUGACGUCGCCGGCUAGCAAGGUCGCAUGUUUGAGAGAGAAGGCGCGGCACGAUCUCUGCGCGGCUCUGUCUCCGUGUCUGAUCGUUUCCAGUACGCCAUUCCUUCUUUUGCCGGUAUGUGUGUGUUUGCUCUUUGAUUCCCUCGCUUGCGGCUCCCUCGCUGUCCCACUCUGGUUUGCACAGCGGUGGGGCGCGCACUCCCAUGCGCUCGUCUGUGUGCACCGUGUGACGCGAGUGUGCAGCCCUCUCCCCUUGAUCACUGCUUUCGUGUACCUUGCUCUUUCCUUUCAGGCGCUGCUGCACACCUGUCAGCUCUCUUCCUGUUUACUUGAAAGAGGUGAGACAGCAGCGAGGCAGCUGUCUUCGUGCAACGUGAUGUGCCACUGACGCGAGCGUGUGUGGUCACCGUGCGUACGAGCACCACAGUAGCACCGACG